This 253-nucleotide ribosomal RNA is filed under the name uncultured bacterium. Its description in RNAcentral is "partial 16S ribosomal RNA". It matches the Rfam family "Bacterial small subunit ribosomal RNA", at positions 524 to 776 of the family's 1533-position model. The record is from RNAcentral.
UACGGAGGGAGCUAGCGUUGUUCGGAAUUACUGGGCGUAAAGCGCACGUAGGCGGCUUUGUAAGUUAGAGGUGAAAGCCCGGGGCUCAACCCCGGAAUUGCCUUUAAGACUGCAUCGCUUGAAUCCGGGAGAGGUGAGUGGAAUUCCGAGUGUAGAGGUGAAAUUCGUAGAUAUUCGGAAGAACACCAGUGGCGAAGGCGGCUCACUGGACCGGUACUGACGCUGAGACGCGAAAGCGUGGGGAGCGAACAGG